Molecule: unclassified non-coding RNA, 202 nt
Filed under: Hevea brasiliensis (rubber tree)
Lineage: Eukaryota; Viridiplantae; Streptophyta; Magnoliopsida; Malpighiales; Euphorbiaceae
Source: RNAcentral
UGAGCAAAGAUUUUAUGAUUUGAGAUUCCUUUGAAAAUGUUUCCAAAUGAUGCAGGGUGACGUUAAUAGCUUUAAAUAAUAUACAUGAACAUAUACAUAUACAACCAAUAAUAUGAUUCACAAAUUUGUAGUUUUACAAAAGUAGCCGUCUACGCCUCUAAUGGCUGAGCCUUCUAAAUUACAUGGCUAGUCUUCUAAAAGA